UGGGGAAUAUUGCACAAUGGGGGAAACCCUGAUGCAGCGACGCCGCGUGAACGAAGAAGGUAUUCGUAUCGUAAAGUUCUGUCCUAUGGGAAGAUAAUGACAGUACCAUAGAAGAAAGCUCCGGCUAAAUACGUGCCAGCAGCCGCGGUAAUACGUAGGUGGCAAGCGUUGUCCGGAUUUAUUGGGCGUAAAGCGAGCGCAGGCGGUCAAUUAAGUCUGAUGUGAAAGCCCCCGGCUCAACCGGGGAGGGUCAUUGGAAACUGGUUGACUUGAGUGCAGAAGAGGCGAGUGGAAGUCCAUGUGUAGCGGUGAAAUGCGUAGAUAUAUGGAGGAACACCAGUGGCGAAUGCGACUCGCUGGUCUGUAACUGACGCUGAGGCUCGAAAGCGUGGGUAGCAAACAGG
This 404-nucleotide ribosomal RNA is filed under the name Bacteroidota bacterium. RNAcentral's name for it is "Bacteroidetes bacterium partial 16S ribosomal RNA". It matches the Rfam family "Bacterial small subunit ribosomal RNA", at positions 355 to 776 of the family's 1533-position model. The record is from RNAcentral. Lineage: Bacteria; Pseudomonadati; Bacteroidota.